GAGUUUGAUCCUGGCUCAGGAUAAACGCUGGCGGCGCACAUAAGACAUGCAAGUCGAACGGACUUAACCGAAAUGUUUACAUUUUGGAGCGGUUAGUGGCGGACUGGUGAGUAACACGUAAGCAACCUGCCUAUUAGAGGGGAAUAACAGUGAGAAAUCAUUGCUAAUACCGCAUAUGCCAUAAUCACCACAUGGUGAUAGUGGGAAAGGAGCAAUCCGCUAAUAGAUGGGCUUGCGUCUGAUUAGAUAGUUGGUGGGGUAACGGCCUACCAAGUCGACGAUCAGUAGCCGGACUGAGAGGUUGAACGGCCACAUUGGGACUGAGAUACGGCCCAGACUCCUACGGGAGGCAGCAGUCGGGAAUAUUGCACAAUGGAGGAAACUCUGAUGCAGUGACGCCGCGUGCAGGAAGAAGGUUUUCGGAUUGUAAACUGCUUUAGAUAGGGAAGAUAAAAGACUGUACCUAUAGAAUAAGCUCCGGCUAACUACGUG
This 492-nucleotide ribosomal RNA is filed under the name uncultured Eubacteriales bacterium. Its description in RNAcentral is "bacterial SSU rRNA". It matches the Rfam family "Bacterial small subunit ribosomal RNA", at positions 9 to 507 of the family's 1533-position model. Lineage: Bacteria; Bacillati; Bacillota; Clostridia; Eubacteriales. The record is from RNAcentral.